This 541-nucleotide long non-coding RNA is filed under the name Bos indicus x Bos taurus (hybrid cattle). RNAcentral describes it as "lncRNA (ENSBIXG00000000169.1)". Lineage: Eukaryota; Metazoa; Chordata; Mammalia; Artiodactyla; Bovidae. The record is from RNAcentral.
AUUUCUGGCCCUUCGCCAUUUUCCCAAGGACUUCCUCCAACCGGCUAUUUUGUACUGGGCUUCCCAACAAUAUACACACAUACCAAGAGUAAACUCCUUUACAAAAAAUUCUGAAGGAUUUGGAGACAGAGCAAGAGUAAUACACUUGCAGCCUCUGUUGCAGGGUGAUUGCCCCUUUGCAACAACAUCCAUAGAAGACCACUGUCUCUCAACCUGCGUGUUUGCUGUACACAUAUUAAUGGAAACUCAGAAGUACCGAUCUAGAGUCAGGUAAGCAAGAUACUCAGCACUCAAAAUUUGGGGAUGCAUUAUUCUCAAGCGCAAGCUCAGCACCUCAUGCUUCCUGAAACCUAGUUCCCCAGGGAUGAAUGUCUGAUCAUCUACUACUCCCCUGUCUGCCUCACGGUCUUCUGUUCUGUCUUCUGGCUGUCUUUACUUUUUCUCAUCUUCCCCUUCUACAGUGGGCUGAAGCAUGAUGGUAGGCAAAUGUGUUUCCUUUAAGAAUCUAUAUUACAAUCGAGCAAGGCCGUAUGGAGACUUC